Non-coding RNA from Tephrocybe sp. NHM501043, 78 nucleotides. The record is from the annotation of a GenBank genome assembly. NCBI's taxonomy places the organism in Eukaryota, Fungi, Basidiomycota, Agaricomycetes, Agaricales, Lyophyllaceae.
GGCCAUUUAGUCUAGAGGUACGAUACUUGCUUUGGGACACGCUUGCAAGUGGCCUGGGUUCGAUUCCCAGAAUGGCCC